CGGCCGCGGAAUUCGCCCUUUGCCAGCAGCCGCGGUAAUACGUAAGUGGCMAGCGUUGUCCGGAUUUAUUGGGCGUAAAGGGAGCGCAGGUGGUUUCUUAAGUCUGAUGUGAAAGCCCACGGCUUAACCGUGGAGGGUCAUUGGAAACUGGGAAACUUGAGUACAGAAGAGGAAUGUGGAACUCCAUGUGUAGCGGUGGAAUGCGUAGAUAUAUGGAAGAACACCAGUGGCGAAGGCGACAUUNUGGUCUGUUACAGACACUGAGGCUCGAAAGCGUGGGGAGCAAACAGGAUUAGAUACCGGGUAGUCCAAGGGCGAAA
RNAcentral lists this ribosomal RNA (320 nucleotides) under uncultured bacterium. RNAcentral's name for it is "bacterial SSU rRNA". It matches the Rfam family "Bacterial small subunit ribosomal RNA", at positions 488 to 806 of the family's 1533-position model. The record is from RNAcentral.